AAAUGAGGGAGUGUACUGAGUAAGG
This 25-nucleotide non-coding RNA is filed under the name Cricetulus griseus (Chinese hamster). The record is from RNAcentral. Lineage: Eukaryota; Metazoa; Chordata; Mammalia; Rodentia; Cricetidae.